AUUGAACGCUGGCGGAAUGCUUUACACAUGCAAGUCGAACGAUGAACCUUAGCUUGCUAAGGGGAUUAGUGGCGAACGGGUGAGUAAUAUAUCGGAACGUACCUUGUAAUGGGGGAUAACUAGUCGAAAGAUUAGCUAAUACCGCAUACGCCCUGAGGGGGAAAGUAGGGGAUCUUCGGACCUUACGUUAUAAGAGCGGCCGAUAUCUGAUUAGCUAGUUGGUGGGGUAAUGGCCUACCAAGGGGACGAUCAGUAGCUGGUCUGAGAGGACGACCAGCCACACUGGAACUGAGACACGGUCCAGACCCCUACGGGAGGCAGCAGUGGGGAAUUUUGGACAAUGGGCGCAAGCCUGAUCCAGCCAUUCCGCGUGAGUGAAGAAGGCCUUUGGGUUGUAAAGCUCUUUCGCAAGGGAAGAAAACUUACAUUCUAAUAAAGUGUGAGGCUGACGGUACCUUGAUAAGAAGCACCGGCUAACUACGUGCCAGCAGCCGCCGUAA
RNAcentral lists this ribosomal RNA (500 nucleotides) under uncultured bacterium. RNAcentral describes it as "partial 16S ribosomal RNA". It matches the Rfam family "Bacterial small subunit ribosomal RNA", at positions 30 to 523 of the family's 1533-position model. The record is from RNAcentral.